RNAcentral lists this unclassified non-coding RNA (240 nucleotides) under uncultured Helotiales. RNAcentral describes it as "sequence contains ITS1". Lineage: Eukaryota; Fungi; Ascomycota; Leotiomycetes; Helotiales. The record is from RNAcentral.
AAUUGGCCGCUGGGAGCUGCAAGCCUGUAAAAGGGUGAACAGUUUUAGAUGCUAAUCAGUAUACUUCUUUACUGAAGGAACUUUUUAAGCACUAUUACCCCGGUGUAUAUUUUAUACCCUAUCUUUUUUACUUUAGUUGCCUUGGUGGGCCGUCUAGUACAGCAUCAGUUCCGGCUGAUUGUGCCCACCAGAGGACCCAAAUCCUUUUAUUAGUGAUGUCCGAGUACUACUUAAUAGUUA